Molecule: long non-coding RNA, 189 nt
Organism: Spodoptera frugiperda (fall armyworm)
Lineage: Eukaryota; Metazoa; Arthropoda; Insecta; Lepidoptera; Noctuidae
Exons: 2
Source: RefSeq, a predicted model, not a curated record
AAAAGUUGUUUAUAUUAUAAGUACAAUAACGUGUUUAGAUAUCGUUCACUAAUUACCAGUCACCCUAUAUAGUACUGUUGUACAUACCCUUUACUUUUACAUAGACGUAAUGAUAUUAAAUGACAUGUAACGCAUUCCAGGUUGUCAGAUGUAUUUUCUAUUGUCUUAUUAAAGUUUUAUAUGUAUUUA